Molecule: ribosomal RNA, 463 nt
Filed under: uncultured Staphylococcus sp.
Lineage: Bacteria; Bacillati; Bacillota; Bacilli; Caryophanales; Staphylococcaceae
Description: bacterial SSU rRNA
Rfam family: Bacterial small subunit ribosomal RNA
Source: RNAcentral
AAUACAUGCAAGUCGAGCGAACAGACGAGGAGCUUGCUCUUCUGACGUUAGCGGCGGACGGGUGAGUAACACGUGGGUAACCUACCUAUAAGACUGGGAUAACUCCGGGAAACCGGGGCUAAUACCGGAUAACACAUGAAACCGCAUGGUUUCAUGAUGAAAGACGGUUUUGCUGUCACUUAUAGAUGGACCCGCGGCGUAUUAGCUAGUUGGUAAGGUAACGGCUUACCAAGGCAACGAUACGUAGCCGACCUGAGAGGGUGAUCGGCCACACUGGAACUGAGACACGGUCCAGACUCCUACGGGAGGCAGCAGUAGGGAAUCUUCCGCAAUGGGCGAAAGCCUGACGGAGCAACGCCGCGUGAGUGAUGAAGGUCUUCGGAUCGUAAAACUCUGUUAUUAGGGAAGAACAAUGAUGUAAGUAACUGUGCAUCCCUUGACGGUACCUAAUCAGAAAGCCACG